AAGGGGAUCUUUGUCACUAAGU
Molecule: microRNA, 22 nt
Filed under: Xenopus laevis (African clawed frog)
Lineage: Eukaryota; Metazoa; Chordata; Amphibia; Anura; Pipidae
Also listed under: 1 other name
Description: Xla-Mir-459-P1_3p* (star (passenger))
Source: RNAcentral